Molecule: ribosomal RNA, 431 nt
Filed under: Listeria monocytogenes
Lineage: Bacteria; Bacillati; Bacillota; Bacilli; Caryophanales; Listeriaceae
Description: partial 23S ribosomal RNA
Rfam family: Bacterial large subunit ribosomal RNA
Source: RNAcentral
AGUAAAUUGGUUAAGUUAGAAAGGGCGCACGGUGGAUGCCUUGGCACUAGGAGCCGAAGAAGGACGGGACUAACACCGAUAUGCUUUGGGGAGCUGUACGUAAGCGUUGAUCCAGAGAUUUCCGAAUGGGGGAACCCACUAUCUUUAGUCGGAUAGUAUCCUUACGUGAAUACAUAGCGUGAGGAAGGCAGACCCAGGGAACUGAAACAUCUAAGUACCUGGAGGAAGAGAAAGAAAAAUCGAUUUCCUGAGUAGCGGCGAGCGAAACGGAAAGAGCCCAAACCAAGAAGCUUGCUUCUUGGGGUUGUAGGACACUCUAUACGGAGUUACAAAAGAAAGUUAUAAAUGAAGCGGUCUGGAAAGGCCCGCCAAAGACGGUAACAGCCCGGUAGUUGAAAUAGCUUUCCCUCCAGAGUGGAUCCUGAGUACGG